RNAcentral lists this ribosomal RNA (406 nucleotides) under uncultured bacterium. RNAcentral's name for it is "partial 16S ribosomal RNA". It matches the Rfam family "Bacterial small subunit ribosomal RNA", at positions 30 to 526 of the family's 1533-position model. The record is from RNAcentral.
AUUGAACGCUGGCGGCAGGCCUAACACAUGCAAGUCGAACGAGUGGCGGACGGGUGAGUAAUGUCUGGGAAACUGCCCGAUGGAGGGGGAUAACUACUGGAAACGGUAGCUAAUACCGCAUACCAUCGGAUUUGCCCAGAUGGGAUUUGCUAGUAGUUGGGGUAACGGCUCACCUAGGCUACGAUCCCUAUCUUGGAUGAGCGGAUGACAGGCCACACUGGAACGUAGACACGGUCCAGACUACUACGGGAGGCAGCAGUGGAGUAUAUUGCACAAUGGGAGCAAGCCUGAUGCAGCCAUGCCGAGUGUCUGAAGAAGGCAUUCGGGUUUUAAAGUUCUUUCAGCGAGGAGGCGUUACUCGCAGAAGAAGCACCGGCUAACUCCGUGCCAGCAGCCGCGGUAAUUC